This 497-nucleotide ribosomal RNA is filed under the name uncultured bacterium. Its description in RNAcentral is "partial 16S ribosomal RNA". It matches the Rfam family "Bacterial small subunit ribosomal RNA", at positions 28 to 507 of the family's 1533-position model. The record is from RNAcentral.
GAUGAACGCUGGCGGCGUGCCUAAUACAUGCAAGUCGAGCGAACGGACGAGAAGCUUGCUUCUCUGAUGUUAGCGGCGGACGGGUGAGUAACACGUGGAUAACCUACCUAUAAGACUGGGAUAACUUCGGGAAACCGGAGCUAAUACCGGAUAAUAUUUUGAACCGCAUGGUUCAAAAGUGAAAGACGGUCUUGCUGUCACUUAUAGAUGGAUCCGCGCUUCAUUAGCUAGUUGGUAAGGUAACGGCUUACCAAGGCAACGAUGCAUAGCCGACCUGAGAGGGUGAUCGGCCAAACUGGAACUGAGACACGGUCCAGACUCCUACGGGAGGCAGCAGUAGGGAAUCUUCCGCAAUGGGCGAAAGCCUGACGGAGCAACGCCGCGUGAGUGAUGAAGGUCUUCGGAUCGUAAAACUCUGUUAUUAGGGAAGAACAUAUGUGUAAGUAAAUGUGCACAUCUUGACGGUACCUAAUCAGAAAGCCACGGCUAACUACGUG